AUAUUUAAAAUAAGACUUAUACAAAUAUCUAAAAUGAGUUUCACAUAUACAAUGUGAAUCUAAUUUAAUUAAAAUCAUUACUCUAUGUGAAAUAAUUUAUAAUUACAGGAGAAGGUGCUUAAAAUACCACAUACAAGGUGAAAGAAAAGGAUCGGUGGACAAGUUCAUCGAUAAUUUACCGGGUCCACCUGACAAUAUCCUAUACGAUGGCGAAGAACAUUAUUGGAUUGCAUUGCCUAUGGUAAUUCAAUUCUUACAUUUUAUAUUAGAUUAGUGUUAAUUCAAUCUAAAUGUUACGGUAUAGUGUGACACCUUUGAAACAUUGCAUUUUGGCAGGGAAACUCAUUGGCUUGGGAUUUGGCAUUGAAAUAUCCUUGGAUCCGAAAGGUUGUGGCAAUCAUGGAGAGGUACAAAGUAAGGCCUCAUAUAGAGAAAAAUGGAGGGGUUUUGGCUGUUGAUUUGGAAGGAAAACCAACUGCAUAUUAUUAUGAUCCUAGUUUGUCAGAGGUUACAAGUGGUGUGAAGAUUGGGAAUUAUUUAUAUUGCGGUUCCAUUACAAAACCAUACAUGAUCCGCCUCGAUCUUCAUCAACAUGCUGCGCGUGCCACCAUGUGACUGAGCGAGUGGCCCUUGUUGAAAUCAUGGAGAUGCAAAGAAAAAGCUUUAAUUAAGGAAAGUCGGCAUGCAGUUUUUAGAAGAUGGUCCUAAUAACAAUGGAGGAAGACUAUGGUAUGACACGGAUCAGCUACCAAAGUCCCUCAUAGAAAUGUUGUGUGGGGUUGAAUUGAUUGUAAAUCCUAUGAAUUGCAAUGGUUGAUUGGGUGCAAAUCGUAUGAUAGGGUCCAUCCCAAAGUUCAUGCAAACAGAUUUAAUAUUUAGGUCUUGACUUUAAGGAAACAGGCACUUGCUAACAAUCAUAAAGAUCUUCAUUCGCACUGACUUCCCUGUUAGAGCUUGUUGCCUAACCUCAUGGAGUGAGCUUGAAGUAUACAGCUAAAAUUUCAUCCCUUAAAAGAUGUUUCUAUUAUUUAAUAACUUAAUUUAAGUCAUUACAUAUAUUAAAGAUAAAAUAAUUUAUUAUCAUAAUUUAACUGAAAAAUAACUUUAAAUAUUAAGUUAAAAUAGUUAAAUUAUUUUUAAUCUCAAAUAUCNNNNNNNNNNNNNNNNNNNNNNNNNNNNNNNNNNNNNNNNNNNNNNNNNNNNNNNNNNNNNNNNNNNNNNNNNNNNNNNNNNNNNNNNNNNNNNNNNNNNUUAUAUUAUUAUGACUUUAUAUUCAAAUUUCAUCUUUUAUAGUAAAUUUUUUUGUAGUUAUUUUAUGCAUCCAUAAUACUUUAAAUAUGAAUAUUUAAUAAAAUAAAUUUAUUACUUAAAAUGGAUAAAAAUAUAAUUAUAUAUAAAAACUAAUGAGGGUAAAUAUGUCAACUUGAUGAUUUUAAAUAAAUUUUAUCAAAUAAUCUUAAAAUAAAAAUUAAGUGAUAAACUUUAAGUCAAUAAUUUAAUUUAAAAUUAAUUUAAAUUAUUAAAUAUUAAAUAUUAAAUUUUACCAAAUACCUACUUAAUAAUAAACCAGAAGAAUGCAUUCCAUAGGUCAAGUUGAGCGUCUAAAUAAAUAAACAAAUAAGAUUUUUAUAUGCUCUUAUUUUUUAAAUCAAGCAGGUUUGCCCUCUUCAUUACUUUACUCCUACACGUUGCUACUCCGUUUUAUUCUUCUUCUUCUUCUUUUGCACCACCAAUGGCAGACCCAACGCCUUCUCAGAGUAGCAUGGCUCGGAGAAGCUCAUCGUGGCCUUUGGGUCUUCUCACUUUGAUCUUGGCUCCAGUUGCAGCAGCCAUGCUUCUCUACCAACUCGACCCCUAUGACCCAGCUCCUGUCCCCAUCCACGAGUUUUCACAGCAACCCAUGGUCGUGCCCAAGCUCAACUCUCGUAUGCUACAAGGAUCGGAGAUGAUUGGGGUUGGGAAGCUUUUGGGUCCAGAGGACAUUGCCUACCAUCCCGACUCACACCUCAUCUACACCGGUUGUGCUGAUGGCUGGGUCAAGCGAGUCACCUUGAACGAUUCCGUGGUGCAGAACUGGGCUUUCACCGGAGGACGACCCCUCGGCGUCGCUCUCGGCCGCCACGGUCAGCUGAUCGUCGCUGAUGCCGAAAAGGUAAGUAGAUGAUUUUCUGUUUCCCGUUUACUUUGACUGUUUUUUUCAUUUUUAUUUUUUGUUUUCUUUAAAAAAAAAAACAUAUUAAUUUCUCUUAGAAAAUAUUAAAAAAAGCAACAAUUUUUUGUCAUUUUAAAAUUUUAAUUAAAUUAAUUACACUCUAUUCAUUCUUUAAUAUUUUACACAGCGAUAACUUCUAAUUUCAUUUUAAUUAAUAAUUAACAAUAUUUUGAUAAAACAAAAAAUAAGGGAAAAUACUUUGCUAUUUUUUAUUUUAUUAUCUUUUAAUACGUGAAUUUUCUAUUUUAAAAUUAAUUAUCACUUCCAAGGAGAUUGUGAAAGGAUGUUGAAAAUAAUAUUUUUGAAAAUUAAAUUAUGAAAACAAUAUUUAGGUUUAAAAUAAUUGGAGCAAUUAAAAUCUAAGCUCAAAUUUCUAUCAAACUUUGUUGACCAAAAAUAAAUACAAUAGUAGUAAAUUUCGUUAAGAAAAUGAUCACACGUGGCAGGGUCUAUUGGAGGUAACUACAGAUGGUAUGGUGAAGACGUUGACCGAUGAGGCUGAGGGUAUAAAAUUCAAACUAACCGACGGUGUGGAUGUCGCGGUUGAUGGCGUGAUUUAUUUUACGGAUGCUUCCUAUAAAUAUAGCUUGAAAGAAUACAUUUGGGACAUUUUUUAGAGGGUAGGCCCCAUGGUAGACUAAUGAGUUUUGACCCAUCAACUAAAGAGACCAAAGUGCUGGUUCGGGACCUGUUCUUCGCUAAUGGAGUUAUCGUCUCACCCGAUCAAAAUUCCGUGAUAUUCUGUGAAAGUGUCAUGUACGUUUCUCACUCACUUCCUAAAGUCUUUUUAUAGAAGAGAAUUUAUAUCAAAGUCGUGUUUUUUAUGUUUAAAACCUAAUUGUGAAUUAAGGUCAAUAGGAGUCGUUCCAAUUGAGUAGAGGGUACUACAGAGUUCUUAGUAUCAAGUGAGGUGGGCGCUCCCCCGACUAUAAGUCAAGCCAAUGAUUUUCGUUUUAUGGAAGCAAUUAAAACCACCAUCUUGCUAAAAUAUUUAAACUAAGACUUUUACAAACAUUUAAAAUGAGUUUCGCAUAUACAAUGUGAAACUAAUUUAAUUUUUUAUAAAAUCAUUAUCUUAUGUGAAAUGAUUUAUGAUUGCAGGAAAAUGUGCUUAAAAUAUUACAUACAAGGUGAAAGAAAAGGAUCCAUGGAUAAGUUCAUCGAUAAUUUAUCGGGUACACCUGAUAAUAUUCUAUAUGAUGGCGAAGGACAUUAUUGGAUUGCAUU
Molecule: long non-coding RNA, 3439 nt
Filed under: Vitis vinifera (wine grape)
Lineage: Eukaryota; Viridiplantae; Streptophyta; Magnoliopsida; Vitales; Vitaceae
Description: long non-coding RNA (VVIN_LNC001204)
Source: RNAcentral